UUAUAUAAUACAUCUGAAUACAUAAAUUAUAUUAAUUAAAAAAAUAUUUAUGAAUACAUUCAUGGCAUAUAGCGAGACAGUAAAUACAAUGAAAUACAUCGGGAUACAUUGAAAUACAAUGAAAAAAAGACAGUAAAUACAAUGAAAUACAUGAAAUACGACGAGAUACAAUGAAUUACAAUGAAAAAAAAGACAAUGAAUACAAUGAAAUACAUGAAAAUACAUUGAAAUAUAUUAACAGAAAAUCAAGUUGCUCAGCCCCAAACUCCAUUGUCUUUGUUCAAGAACAGACCCUAAUUUCCGGUGAAUAUGCCGUUCACCGGAAGCCAGUAGUGAAAAGGGUUCUCAAAUAGGUCGUUGGCUCAGACAGUGUUGAAGAGGAAGAUCAGGGUUCCCAAAUUACGUUGUUUCUUCAAGGAUACAAGGAAGGAAGUAUUAUACAGAAACAUAUCACUUCAGAUUCUUAUAAGGCUUUCAUAGACUAAUAGGUCCACUUUGGUAAACAUCAAUCCCAAUUUGAUCAAGAUAAGUUGCUUGAGAAAUCUUUACGCGCCGCCUUGGUCCGGCGAUGGUGCCGGAGCCGUUCAAAAUGAUCCACAAAAAUACUACUGUAUAAUUUUGUUGAAAAUCUGAAGACAUUACUAGUGAAUUUGACGGCAACUUGGCAAGGUGGAUCUGCGACUGCCUAUAAUAUAUAAGAAAUUAGACAAUUAGAUCUGAACGACGGCAGAAUAAUAAUUCAAUCAAACCAAAAAAAAAAUGAGAAAAGAAUUACAGGAACAGAUCCGGAAACAUUCUGAUUAUCAAUUGCGGUGUAAUUGCUGGACAUUCGGAUUGGAGCAGUUGAAGAUGGCAAAUUGAUAAAGAGGAAACUUACUGCUUUCAUUAUUGAAUGGCGUAUCAAACUAGAGAGAGAAAAAGAAAAUAGUGUAAUUGAAUAGCGUAUUUAGUGGCUUAGGGAUAUGAAGUAACCAAAAUUAAAUAUUUUGCAAUAAAUAUUAAAAAGUAUCUAUAGAAUAUAUAUUUUUAAAUGAUAUUUAUUUAAAAUAAAUAAGGUGUUAACCUUUGCUAUAGGGGGUAAAAAUUUCGUUUUAAAUGAG
Molecule: long non-coding RNA, 1100 nt
Filed under: Nicotiana tabacum (common tobacco)
Lineage: Eukaryota; Viridiplantae; Streptophyta; Magnoliopsida; Solanales; Solanaceae
Description: long non-coding RNA (NTAB_LNC001605)
Source: RNAcentral